UGUUGUUGCCAUGGUAAUCCUGCUCAGUACCAACCCGCAGGUUCAGACAUUUGGUGUAUGUGCUUGGCUAAGGAGCCAAUGGGGCAAAGCUACCCUCUGUGGGAUUUUGACUGAAUGCCUCUAAGUCAGAAUCCCGCCCAGGCUGAACCACAGGGCAGCGCUGCAGGGCCUCAGUUGGCCUCGGAUAGCCAGUCUCCCAAUGGCCUGGGAUAGCCAGUCUCCCGCCGUCCCCGCCGGCCGGCAGUUCGGCUCAGCAAGCGCGCAGGUACCCGGGGCCGGUGCGGAGAGUCCCUCCUCCUGGGAAACCGGGUGCGGCCGGAAAGGCGGCCGCCCCCUCACCCGUCAUGCAACGGCACGUUCGUGGGAAACCUGACAUUAAACUGUUCGUAGAUGACCUGCUUCUGGGUCAGGAUUUCGCACUGAGCAGAGCAGCUCCCUCGCUGUGAUCUACUGAAAGUCGGCCCUCGACACAAGGGUUU
This is a ribosomal RNA of Gorilla gorilla gorilla (western lowland gorilla), 479 nucleotides long. It matches the Rfam family "Eukaryotic large subunit ribosomal RNA", at positions 3006 to 3399 of the family's 3401-position model. The record is from Rfam. Lineage: Eukaryota; Metazoa; Chordata; Mammalia; Primates; Hominidae.